RNAcentral lists this ribosomal RNA (253 nucleotides) under uncultured bacterium. Its description in RNAcentral is "partial 16S ribosomal RNA". It matches the Rfam family "Bacterial small subunit ribosomal RNA", at positions 526 to 779 of the family's 1533-position model. The record is from RNAcentral.
CAGAGGGUGCAAGCGUUGCUCGGAAUCAUUGGGCGUAAAGGGCAAGUAGGUGGUCUCAUUUGUCUUGUGUGAAAUCCUUGGGCUUAACUCAAGAAGUGCGCAAGAAACGGUGAGACUCGAGUUCUGGAGAGGGUCGUGGAAUUCCCGGUGUAGCGGUGAAAUGCGUAGAGAUCGGGAGGAACACCAGAGGCGAAGGCGGCGACCUGGACAGAUACUGACACUCAACUGCGAAAGCGUGGGAGCAAACAGGAUU